CAUCAUUCUUCCUUCGGCUGCUGGGGGUAACAGCAUAGGCUUGAAUGGAGCAGUUGCAUUUCCCUCACCAGAGAUUGGAACUGCUGAACUCACUAUCCUCUUCUCUUCUGGGCCAGGAAGGGCGAGUCUUGCACUGCAGGUGGGAACUUUUGGUGUUUGAAAUAGCCUAGAGAGAGCAGUUGUGCAGCUGAAAUCAAUCCAUACAUAUGCUCGAGCGACAGGGUAAACUGGAACAAUUUAGGAUGUGCUUUAACAAGGAUUAUGUACUACCUAGUUUUCUUUUCCUUA
Lycium ferocissimum is the source of this 288-nucleotide long non-coding RNA. RefSeq lists it as uncharacterized. Lineage: Eukaryota; Viridiplantae; Streptophyta; Magnoliopsida; Solanales; Solanaceae. The transcript is spliced from 2 exons. The record is from RefSeq and is a predicted model, not a curated record.